UACGGGGGGAGCAAGCGUUGUUCGGAUUUACUGGGCGUAAAGGGUGCGUAGGCGGCGUGACAAGUCACUUGUGAAAUCUCCGGGCUUAACCCGGAGCGGCCAAGUGAUACUGUCGUGCUAGAGUGCGGAAGGGGCUACUGGAAUUCUCGGUGUAGCGGUGAAAUGCGUAGAUAUCGAGAGGAACAUCUGCGGCGAAGGCGGGUAGCUGGGCCGACACUGACGCUGAGGCGCGAAAGCCAGGGGAGCGAACGGG
RNAcentral lists this ribosomal RNA (253 nucleotides) under uncultured bacterium. RNAcentral's name for it is "partial 16S ribosomal RNA". It matches the Rfam family "Bacterial small subunit ribosomal RNA", at positions 524 to 776 of the family's 1533-position model. The record is from RNAcentral.